UGCAGUGAGCCGAGAUCAUGCCUGGGUGACAGAGCGAGACUCCGUCUCGAAAACAGAAAAACAAGAAACCAAAAAGCCCUACCUCAGUACCUCAGUCACCAAGAGCCCCAAGCAGAGUUACCGGAAGAUAGCUGACAUGUAUUAAAUGUUUGUGGAAUAAGGAAUACAUGAAGAAGUCUAUCAUUCAAUCAAAGAAAACUAAGUAUCAUUGGAGGUCUUUCCAUUUUGGGGUCCAGUGGGUGUCCUUUGAGUCAAGAGCAUGAUCUUCAAUAGACUUGGGGCCAGAAAUGUGACAUGUGUCUGAAUCCAAUCAGAUCCAGUUAAGAUCCACAAAUGCUAGUCACUGGAAUCUGCAGCCCUUGAAUUAAUUCUGUCCUUAGAUUUGAUAAGCCAAUGUCAGAUUUAUUGUUGUUAUUUAUUAUUCUGUCCCUCCAGGAUGACAUUAGGAACAUACUGUCAAGAAAAGGAUGAUGCGUGUGCUGCAAAAUGCAGGACAAUUCACUUUCCAGGUGGGGUCUGGGGCCUGUGGCUUCUCUGUGAACUUUCUUUGUGUGCUGUGGAAUAUUUUCCAGCUGCAGCCUAUUGUCCUGUGAUUAGACUCUGGGGCUCCACAGUUCUGGUGGCUGGAAGUCCAAGAUCAGGAUGCCAGCAUGGUCAAGUUCUUGAAUCUUGAUGACUAGCAUUUGGAGGAACACACCUUGGGAAAUGGUGAUUCUGUCCAAACUUUUUGUGUUAUGGCUGUGAGAAAUAGACUUACAGAAGGAGAUGUCCGCCCCACAUCUCUAAACUCAUGGGUGGAAACUCAGACUAAGACGGCACCUAGAAUGUGGUCCAGCACAUUGAGAAUAGAGCAGAAGAUGAAAGCUGGAGGGGCUGAGGGGCCUUGGAGGCAGAGUUGGGCUCAACUUCUCAUUCCCUGGGACGAACUGUGCACAGUAGCCUCUGCUCCUCCUUCUUCAGUGAAGACUGCGAUGCCUGUGUUGGGGCUCAGAAACCGAUACCCCAAAAUAUGAUGCUUUGUACAUGCUGAACUGAAACAGGAGCUUUAAGCUCUUUCAGGCCUCCCCACAUCUUACCGUCUCUCCCAAAGUGUAGGAUUCUCUGAAAGUCUUUGUCUGCCUAAAGUCCAGACCUACCAAUGAAGAAAACAAUCACCUCCUGCCCUUUGUCUGAGUUUUCAUGAGCUGAACCCAUAUUGCAGGAAGGAAGGCUAAGAUCUGUCAACACACCUGGGCAGACUUUUGUCACAAACCAUUGUCUGCUCUGAGGACCCAAAAGAGCUUGUCCCAGAUAAUUGCCUGUUCUUUAAGGCUAUUAAAUUCUCCCUGGUAACCAUUUACUGUCCUUCAACGGAAGUCCUCUUCUUCCCCCUCCCAUGACCUGUAUGACCAGCUCCCAUGCCCCCAUUCUUUCUGUAACCUCAAGAUGGUUUAUAAA
Long non-coding RNA from Homo sapiens (human), 1437 nucleotides. RefSeq annotates it as CLNK antisense RNA 3. The transcript has 5 exons. NCBI's taxonomy places the organism in Eukaryota, Metazoa, Chordata, Mammalia, Primates, Hominidae. The record is from RefSeq and is a predicted model, not a curated record.